GGUGUGUGUGCUGCAGCUGGUGUUGUGAAUCAGGCCGAUGUCACACGUCCGCGAUAACCCGGCUAUUUCACAACACCAGGGUGGCACCACACC
MicroRNA precursor from Sinocyclocheilus anshuiensis, 93 nucleotides. Lineage: Eukaryota; Metazoa; Chordata; Actinopteri; Cypriniformes; Cyprinidae. The record is from Ensembl.